Molecule: long non-coding RNA, 768 nt
Organism: Clupea harengus (Atlantic herring)
Lineage: Eukaryota; Metazoa; Chordata; Actinopteri; Clupeiformes; Clupeidae
Source: Ensembl
UCAACCACAUUCAGUUGGCUUGAAACUCCAUGUUAAUUGGCCUUACUGUCACAGACAAACAGGCCAGGGUGAGCUGGAGUGGUGGCCAUGUCUCAAAGCUCAAUAUCCAAUCAAUGCCUGUUUUCCUCGAUGAACACACACACAUACACAUACACACACACCUACAGAGAACUUGUUUGGUGUUUGACGUGUGUUUGCCCAAGAAUAAACUUGUGGGAGAGGAAAAUAGGGGGAAUGAGGUAUUAGCUACCGGGCCGCUCAAUGCUAGCUCAAUGCUUGCUCUUGUUCUCUGUAUUACCAUCAGUAUUGAAUGAGGUAUUAGCUAACGGCCACUCAAUGCUAGCUCAAUGCUAGCUCUCAUUCUCUGUAUUACCAUCAGUACUGAAUGAGGUAUUAGCUACCGGGCCACUCAAUGCUAGCUCUUGUUCUCUGUAUUACCAUCAGUACUGAAUGAGGUAUUAGCUACCGGCCACUCAAUGCUAGCUCAAUGCUAGCUCUCAUUCUCUGUAUUACCAUCAGUACUGAAUGAGGUAUUAGCUACCGGGCCACUCAAUGCUAGCUCAAUGCUAGCUCUUGUUCUCUGUAUUACCAUCAGUACUGAAUGAGGUAUUAGCUACCGGGCCACUCAAUACUAGCUCAAUGCUAGCUCUAUGCUAGCUCAAUACUAGCUCAAUGCUAGCUCUUGUUCUCUGUAUUACCAUCAGUACUGACGCAAAUAGCCGAAGAUGCAUUAAAAGUGUUUUUACAGUAUAAAUAAAGGUGAACUCC